GCACAAGCGGUGGAGCAUGUGGUUAAUUCGACGCAACGCGAAGAACCUUACCUGGGCUUGACAUCCCGGGAAUCCCCCUGGAAACAGGGGAGUGCCCUUCGGGGAACCCGGUGACAGGUGCUGCAUGGCUGUCGUCAGCUCGUGUCGUGAGAUGUUGGGUUAAGUCCCGCAACGAGCGCAACCCUUGUCUUUAAUUGCCAUCAUUUAGUUGGGCACUUUAAAGAGACUGCCGGUGUUAAGCCGGAGGAAGGUGGGGAUGACGUCAAGUCCUCAUGGCCUUUAUGACCAGGGCUACACACGUACUACAAUGGCAGGUACAAAGGGCAGCCACUUAGCGAUAAGGCGCGAAUCCCAUAAAACCUGUCUCAGUCCGGAUUGGAGUCUGCAACUCGACUCCAUGAAGUUGGAAUCGCUAGUAAUCGCAGAUCAGCACGCUGCGGUCGAAUACGUUCCCGGGCCUU
Molecule: ribosomal RNA, 461 nt
Filed under: uncultured Desulfocapsa sp.
Lineage: Bacteria; Pseudomonadati; Thermodesulfobacteriota; Desulfobulbia; Desulfobulbales; Desulfocapsaceae
Description: bacterial SSU rRNA
Rfam family: Bacterial small subunit ribosomal RNA
Source: RNAcentral